RNAcentral lists this long non-coding RNA (3840 nucleotides) under Olea europaea (common olive). RNAcentral's name for it is "long non-coding RNA (OEUR_LNC004874)". Lineage: Eukaryota; Viridiplantae; Streptophyta; Magnoliopsida; Lamiales; Oleaceae. The record is from RNAcentral.
UUAUUUUCCCAUUUUCUUUCUUGAAAAAGUACAAAAACGAGAAAGAGAUGACUACACCACAAUUUCUUCAUCCUGCGAUUACAUUGGUUUUCUUCAUAUUGUUGUGAGUUCUAAUCGACAGGUAUAGUGGGUUGUUUUCUAACUUUUUCAAUUCGCCUUAUUGUGAUUUCCAACGAGUUUUUUCAUCUAACUGUGACUUCUUAAUAUUUCUAUGUGUAUAGUUCUAAUUCUGAGUUUGUGAAAUUGACAGGUUGUGUGUUAAUAUUAACAGAGAGAGGUACAUAAUUUUUUAAUUUAAUUUUUGGUUUAUGUGAUUAAAAUUGUCUAUCUUUGUUAUUGUUAUUUUUUUUCGAAUUUCAAAUGGAAUAUUGAGUUCACAAUGCUAGAUUUUUUAGUUCUUUCCUGAUAAAUUGAUUUUAUCUUUUGCUUCUCUUUUAUGAUGGAAUUUCGCGAGGCUUAUGUGUUAAGCAGAGAGAUGUAUAUAAUAUUUCAAUUUAAUUUAUGCUUUCUGUGAUUAAAAUUGUUUGAUCUUUAUUAUUGCUAUUUUUUUUUUCGAAUUUCAAAUGGAUUAUUGAAUUCACAGUGCUAGAAUUUUUAAUUCUUUCUUGAUAAAUUGAUUUUAUUUUUUUGCUUCUCUUUUACGGUGGAUUUUCGCGAGGCUUAUAUGUUAGCAAGUUUGCUGAAGAGGAAAUUCUGAUUGAUUUGUGAUUUACGUUGAAUCUAUGUUUGAGGUUAUGUAUUGAUUCUAAGCAGAUUUGAAUUUAAUAUUAAAUUGCUGGAAUUUUUGUAGGUGCCUCUUGUCGUGUUUAUAAGUUAAUAUUUUGUUUUUCUUUGAUUUUCUAUCUUUAGUUCAAGUUUAGGCAAUCCGACUUCCAUUCACUACAAAUCAAUUGCUGAUUUUCGCAAAUAUUGUUAGACUAAACUAUGAUUUGGAACAUAUUAGAUUUUAUGUAACCUAACUUUAUCUAAAGAAUGUGGAGAUAAAUAAGUUUCUUCUUAAUAUUAUUUUGGUUUAAAUCUCAAAAACCUUAACGUUUUGGUAAGUCCAUGAAUUAAAAGAUCGACCAAUUAAUUGAUUUGCUAGGUCACCAGUGCUCAUUAGGAAAUUUUUUAUAUCUCUAUAUAUAAAUUUAUGUUGAAUUUUGAUAUCAGUCAUCAAAUUUUAUUUUGUUUCUUUUCUUUCUAUUUGGUCACACAAUUGUAAUCUAUUAGUUUUUUUUCCUAACGGAUUUUAUGAGGUGGCGGCAACAAUCUGUUAUGGCCUUGAUUUGGAGGUCUUAUAUGUUAUACAUUCCAUUAGAAGACUUAACGGGAUUAAAUGAAAUGACCAAAAAAAAAAAAUGUAAACCUCUAGUGUCUAUUUUAGCUCAAAAUAAAGUUUGAUAAUUAAAAUGAAAAAUCUAGAGUAUGUUUACAAAGUUUUUAUAAACAAUUUAUUUAAUAGAUAGAUAAAAAUGAAUGAAGGAUAAGCGGAUGCUAAUUGUGAAUUUUAAAAUGUGUGAAUAUAAGUAAUUGUGAAUUUUUAAAAUGUGCGAAUAUAAAAUGACUUAAAUGUUUAUAAAUAGUUUAUAAACAUGAGCCAAACAUGGGCUUAAGUCUACUGCUUUUAACCAUAGAAGAGUCUUUUGCCUUCAUUUUCAAUGAAAAUGGUUUUAUGGAGUAGAAAGAUUGGUCUUAAAAAACUAAUGGAUACUUAGAAAAAUUCCCAUAAGCGUGAUUUGAAUAAAAAAGUUAUUCUUUGGCAUGAGCACCAUUUUGUAUCUAUGAAUUAGAAUAGCCCUCUUUCUUAUGUGUUGACAGAUGAAUUGAACAUGAAAUGAACUGCUCGGAUCAAGGUUAAAUUUGUGUUCCUUCCUGUGAUCUCUACUUUUUUUUGGAUUGUGUGUUUUUGUAGAUGCAUUAGUGUCAUCCUCAUGAAGGGAUUAAAAUAUGCAUAAUUGGACCGGAUUCUUUCAUAUUGUGAUUGUUCUCUUCUUAUGAACUUCUCGUAUAUAUAAAUUUUUGUUAAAUCUACAAGUAUAGAGAAGAAUCUAUUUAGUCGACCUCAAAUUUAUUGGGUAAGAUUUGAUUUGUUAUUGUAAAGAGAAGACAAACUCACAUUGCAUUUUGAAACUGUCUGUGGUUAUUACAUUUGUAUUACUAAUUAUGAAGGCUAUUAUAUGUUUAGUCUCGAAAUUGUGGAGUUCAUAAUUUUUUUUUUUUUAGGUUUCUUGAAAAGAAAACUUAGUGAGAAUGUUAAAGAAGAGCUUCACUUAGAUGAUUUGAACUCAUACAGUGUGAUUGAGCUUCUAAUAAUAAAAUACCUCAUAUUUCUUAUGCUCACUUCUUUUAUCGUAAAAAUUGGCUUGAACUAAUGGCUAAAGUACACUAUUAAAAACAAAAAACUAAAAGAUAUAAAAUUUUAUGAUUAAUAAUAUUUAUGGCAUCAAGUUCACUGCAUUGUUAUGCAUAUUCCCUUAGUGUUCUUUUUUAAUAUUUUGUCACAUCAUUGGUCAAUUGGCAAGGCUUGUUCUAUAGUAAAGCAAAUUUUGAUGUUUUCUAUUUAUGCAUAUGUUGGUUCAAUGAAAACUUCUCAAAUCUUUGCAGUUGAAUGAACUUUGAGAUAUUCUUCCUUAGAAUUCUCCAAUUAGAUGGCAUACCUAUACACCUACAAAUUGCCCAAUAAAUGAUGGGAUUUUGCUGGAAAUAUUCCUUCAGGCCAAAUUGUGGCUACGAGGAACGUGCUUCUUGUCUCCUCUACUAUUAAUAAUCUUUCUAAGAUUUUCAUACUCUAUUCCUCAGUCAGUAACUAGCUUUGUAUUUCCUCUAUUUUCUAUGCUUACAUAUUUUUAUUAGUUCAUUUAUUCACUUGAACCAUGCAUGUGAACCUUAUAACUAAACUAAUUACAAAUAAAAUUAAAUGCAAUUGUGACUAUAAUGAUGAUGAAAUAAAUUGUAACAUAAUUUACUCCUCUUAUGCUCUUUCUAUAUUUUUAAUCAUAUUUCAUAUUUUAUGAAUUCUCUCUUCAGCUGUCUAAAGCUUUUCUGAAAAAAUUAUGUUUCCUUGUUCUAUUCAUUUUCUCAGGUACCAGCUUAGAUUACAUUACAUUCAAAAUCCAGUUUCUUUUCUUCUUAUUGGCAGGUAAUGUGCAAUGUUACUUUUUAUUUCACUGCUUUCCUCUUACAUUGGUCAAAAUUUAAGAACCUUUUUAUUAUUUGUAAUUUGACUGAUUUUUUCUCAACGUAUUUUCUUCUAUUAAAUUCUGUUAUCUGUGUUACUAUACAUUUUACAAAAAAUGCACUCCAUAUUAUGUUGGUUCUAAAAUUUUACCUAUUGUCGACAUUUAAUCAUACUUUUCAUUAUCUUAGGUAUGGAUUCUUCUACUCUAAUAUUCAUAUUUAAACUAUGUUUGACGUAACGUAUAUGGUAAUAGUUUUUCUUUUUCUUCAUGUAGUUGUUGUUGCUUACUUUCAGCUCCAACUACUUGAUAAUUUUUCUUCCUUUAUUGAUUGACAUAAUGGAACCAUGCGCUCAUCGAGAUUCUCGUUUAUGUAAUGCUCAAACUACUUCUAAAAGUACAAGUCAUUCAUAUGAUGCAUUAAUUCGUCAACAACGAAAUCAAAGACGAAGAGAUCGACGACAUCAAGCUGAAACUAGAUUCAUUAAUCAUCGUAAAAGAGUAUUUUAGCCUAUGUUAUCUACAAAUAAUAAUUCUCAUGUUGUCCAUGUACAUGAACCUGCAACAUACUAUCAUUCUAAGCUUACUACUUCCAACAAUGAAGCAUUAAACAUAUGUAAUACUGAAUUAUAGGAAAGUUCUAGCCAAUUAAAUGUACCCUGUAUUGCAUAUGUAUUACCAA